ACCCUCGUAGCUAAAACGCUUAAAGCGCUGGCCUUGUAAGACAGAAACUGGGAAUUUACAUCCCCGAGAGUA
This 72-nucleotide transfer RNA is filed under the name Caiman latirostris (Broad-snouted caiman). RNAcentral describes it as "tRNA-Thr". It matches the Rfam family "tRNA". Rfam says of the family: Transfer RNA (tRNA) molecules are approximately 80 nucleotides in length. Their secondary structure includes four short double-helical elements and three loops (D, anti-codon, and T loops). Lineage: Eukaryota; Metazoa; Chordata; Crocodylia; Alligatoridae. The record is from RNAcentral.